UGGCCCGGGCGAGCAGCUAUUUCCUUGUCACAUGGUCAUUUGAACGCGACGCGGGGCCGUUGCGUAGCGGAGCGAAAAAAAAAAAAAAAGGGAAAAAAAAAAAAAAAAGCGGAUCUCGUCUCCCCCCGCCGGUAACCGAAACGGUAAUAACACCGAUGUCAACAGAAGUUUCCUUCUUCGGCCGGGGCACGGAGUAACCCUCACAACAAUGCUAAUAAAGAAGAGCCUGUAAUGGUUUCUCCUGGACCGAGUCCGAUUUCAAGCCUGGGAAAUGGGGAGGACUCCAAGACCUGGAGCUGAUGCUGCUGCCAGAAGAAAAGGUGCCUGUGGAAGCUCCCGCAGCUGAGCAGGAUUGUGUUGGGGACCCCAAUCCUCCGACGGGGUCCCAUGUUUACAACCGUCAUGAGAAGAGCCACGGAUGUGCCACGGGCCCAUGCACAGACUUGCACAGCAUCUUACGUGGUUGUAAGAAGGCAUUUGCCAAAGCCGCAAUCGCACCAGGAAGCCUCAGUUCCCCGCUGUCCCGGCCGGUUUUGCCAGGGAGAGGCAGAGACUGGCUUCGGCUCCCCUUGAGUCCCACUUAAUCUGAGUCUGAAAUCAAACGGGGAGCAGUCGGCUCGGGCCCGGGAGAGCCCGGAGCCUUUGCCGCUCCCUUCAGACGGGGGGCUGGGAAGUGCGAGUGGAGAGCCCCGGGGAGGAGGGUGAACAGAAAGCCCAGACGCCGUCCUGUCAAAAUACGAG
This 741-nucleotide long non-coding RNA is filed under the name Aquila chrysaetos chrysaetos. Its description in RNAcentral is "lncRNA (ENSACCG00020013175.1)". Lineage: Eukaryota; Metazoa; Chordata; Aves; Accipitriformes; Accipitridae. The record is from RNAcentral.